Long non-coding RNA from Panicum virgatum (switchgrass), 513 nucleotides. RefSeq lists it as uncharacterized. NCBI's taxonomy places the organism in Eukaryota, Viridiplantae, Streptophyta, Magnoliopsida, Poales, Poaceae. The transcript is spliced from 2 exons. The record is from RefSeq and is a predicted model, not a curated record.
UGUUACUGUAAAUAUGAAAGUCCAGGUAUUUUGAUAGGCAUGUGAGAUCUAUAUUUUUCUCAUUUAUUACUGUAAAUAUGAAAAUCUAGGUAAAAAUGAUGUGCAUGCGUGUGUGUUACUUAUGUGCACUCAUCAAUGUAAAUAUGCUAGGUUUUUUGUGCACAAGUUAGUGGGUGAGGUUUCUCAUGUCUAGUUUUUUUAUAUCCAGAAACUAAUCAUUAAAUGUUGAAUUUUGUUACUUGUUAUUUUCAUAGGUGCUCGUACGGAUAUAGUCUAAUAUGACUGCUCCAUUUCUCAGUGCUACCAUGGCCGAUGGUGUUGUCAUUCUUGGCCAUGGCCUUCCUGUGUUGUGCUGCUAGUGUUGCGGUGACAGUAAGGAUUGGAGUUGAUCAGUUGAGGGAAGGAGAACUCAGGUGAUGAAUUUUGUCUUUUCAUGGAAAUGUUCAUUUUACAAUUUAGUAUGCUUAUUUGUAGUUUGUUCAAUACUGUUAAUUAAUGUUUACUUUGAAUUUA